Molecule: ribosomal RNA, 253 nt
Filed under: uncultured bacterium
Lineage: Bacteria
Description: partial 16S ribosomal RNA
Rfam family: Bacterial small subunit ribosomal RNA
Source: RNAcentral
UACGAGGGGGGCGAGCGCUGUUCGGAAUUAUUGGGCGUAAAGGGCGCGUAGGCGGUUCGGUAAGUCUUGUGUGAAAUCUUCGGGCUCAACUCGAAGUCUGCGCGAGAAACUGCCGGGCUUGAGUGUGGGAGAGGUGAGUGGAAUUUCCGGUGUAGCGGUGAAAUGCGUAGAUAUCGGAAGGAACACCUGUGGCGAAAGCGGCUCACUGGACCACAACUGACGCUGAGGCACGAAAGCUAGGGGAGCAAACAGG